This 497-nucleotide ribosomal RNA is filed under the name uncultured bacterium. Its description in RNAcentral is "partial 16S ribosomal RNA". It matches the Rfam family "Bacterial small subunit ribosomal RNA", at positions 28 to 507 of the family's 1533-position model. The record is from RNAcentral.
GAUGAACGCUGGCGGCGUGCCUAAUACAUGCAAGUCGAGCGAACAGACGAGGAGCUUGCUCCUCUGACGUUAGCGGCGGACGGGUGAGUAACACGUGGAUAACCUACCUAUAAGACUGGGAUAACUUCGGGAAACCGGAGCUAAUACCGGAUAAUAUAUUGAACCGCAUGGUUCAAUAGUGAAAGACGGUUUUGCUGUCACUUAUAGAUGGAUCCGCGCCGCAUUAGCUAGUUGGUAAGGUAACGGCUUACCAAGGCAACGAUGCGUAGCCGACCUGAGAGGGUGAUCGGCCACACUGGAGCUGAGGCACGGUCCAGACGCCUACGGGAGGCAGCAGUAGGGAAUCUUCCGCAAUGGGCGAAAGCCUGACGGAGCAACGCCGCGUGAGUGAUGAAGGUCUUCGGAUCGUAAAACUCUGUUAUUAGGGAAGAACAAAUGUGUAAGUAACUAUGCACGUCUUGACGGUACCUAAUCAGAAAGCCACGGCUAACUACGUG